AUUGAACGCUGGCGGCAGGCCUAACACAUGCAAGUCGAACGGUAACAGGAAGAAGCUUGCUUCUUUGCUGACGAGUGGCGGACGGGUGAGUAAUGUCUGGGAAACUGCCUGAUGGAGGGGGAUAACUACUGGAAACGGUAGCUAAUACCGCAUAAUGUCGCAAGACCAAAGAGGGGGACCUUCGGGCCUCUUGCCAUCGGAUGUGCCCAGAUGGGAUUAGCUAGUAGGUGGGGUAACGGCUCACCUAGGCGACGAUCCCUAGCUGGUCUGAGAGGAUGACCAGCCACACUGGAACUGAGACACGGUCCAGACUCCUACGGGAGGCAGCAGUGGGGAAUAUUGCACAAUGGGCGCAAGCCUGAUGCAGCUAUGCCGCGUGUAUGAAGAAGGCCUUCCGGUGGUAAAGUACUUUCAGCUGGGAGGAAGGGAGUAAAGUUAAUUACUUUGCUCAUUGACGUUACCAGCAGAAGAAGCCCCGGCUAACUCCGUG
RNAcentral lists this ribosomal RNA (490 nucleotides) under uncultured bacterium. RNAcentral describes it as "partial 16S ribosomal RNA". It matches the Rfam family "Bacterial small subunit ribosomal RNA", at positions 30 to 507 of the family's 1533-position model. The record is from RNAcentral.